Molecule: long non-coding RNA, 927 nt
Organism: Carassius gibelio (silver crucian carp)
Lineage: Eukaryota; Metazoa; Chordata; Actinopteri; Cypriniformes; Cyprinidae
Exons: 4
Source: RefSeq, a predicted model, not a curated record
CAGUGCUCGCGCUGAGAUGUUACCACUGCAAAUACAAAGACAGUUCAUCUGAAGAAUGCAAGCAAAAUCGAACAAAAUGUCCUCUGGAGUGUGGCUCUGUCACCAUAUACAGCAAUGGCGGUCCAUUAUAUAACAGUAAGAAGAACUGCACAGAUCCUGCCUUGUGUGUUAUUGACCACAUAAACUUUGGACAAAACGAAAGAGUCUUUAAUCCCCAAUGCUGCGACACUAACCUCUGCAACACUGAAGAGGCACCAGCAAUGCCACGAUAUUCCAACGGGAUGAUGUGUUACACGUGUGACUUAUUUAGUAGAGACUGCUCAAAAAUUGUGACCUGCUCAGGUGAUGAGAACAAGUGCUUCAGUAUAAAAGAAAGUAUAACUGGCAUAAAAACAAAAGGAUGUGGGAACAGUGUAAUCUGUGAGAAUAGUGUAUUAAAUACUCUGGGCUCUAUGGCUGGUGCUCAGACGACGUGCUGUGCAGGAAUUCUGUGUAACAGCGGUCAGUGCUUGAAACAGAGUCUCUUCCUGCUGCUGGUGCCGCUUCUUUCUCUCUUUUCCCUCUGAUAUGUUUUUGGAUCUCUAGAGUUUUUCUGUGAUUUAUAGACAUCCAGUUUUAGUAGUAGUAGUAGUGGUAAAUUAAGAAUAUUUCCAUAUAAUCAUGAUGGUGCUUCUUCUUCUUCUUUUUUUCUUUCUUUUUUUUACUUUCUCUCUACUGGUUUUGGUAAAGGAAAACAUACUUGGUUAAUUGAAGAUAAUUCUUUAUUUUUCAAUGGGGGUAAGAUAGGGUACACAAUUACUAUGCACAUCUGUCGUUUUUAUUUAUCAUGUCUCCACCAGCUAGCUGUCCACACUGGAUUUGAAAAAAGAAUGACCUAAAUAUAACAGUCCACCAUAAAGAUAAAAAAAUGAAUUAUACAAAUUUAAC